RNAcentral lists this ribosomal RNA (452 nucleotides) under uncultured organism. RNAcentral describes it as "partial 16S ribosomal RNA". It matches the Rfam family "Bacterial small subunit ribosomal RNA", at positions 329 to 797 of the family's 1533-position model. The record is from RNAcentral.
ACGUACACUCCUACGGGAGGCAGCAGUGGGGAAUAUUGGACAAUGGGCGCAAGCCUGAUCCAGCCAUGCCGCGUGAGUGAUGAAGGCCCUAGGGUUGUAAAGCUCUUUCACCGGAGAAGAUAAUGACGGUAUCCGGAGAAGAAGCCCCGGCUAACUUCGUGCCAGCAGCCGCGGUAAUACGAAGGGGGCUAGCGUUGUUCGGAAUUACUGGGCGUAAAGCGCACGUAGGCGGAUCGAUCAGUCAGGGGCGAAAUCCCAGGGCUCAACCCUGGAACUGCCUUUGAUACUGUCGAUCUGGAGUAUGGAAGAGGUGAGUGGAAUUCCGAGUGUAGAGGUGAAAUUCGUAGAUAUUCGGAGGAACACCAGUGGCGAAGGCGGCUCACUGGUCCAUUACUGACGCUGAGGUGCGAAAGCGUGGGGAGCAAACAGGAUUAGAAACCCGUGUAGUCCCA